GGUUAAGCGACUAAGCGUACACGGUGGAUGCCCUGGCAGUCAGAGGCGAUGAAGGACGUGCUAAUCUGCGAAAAGCGUCGGUAAGGUGAUAUGAACCGUUAUAACCGGCGAUGUCCGAAUGGGGAAACCCAGUGCAAUUCGUUGCACUAUCGUUAACUGAAUACAUAGGUUAACGAGGCGAACCGGGGGAACUGAAACAUCUAAGUACCCCGAGGAAAAGAAAUCAACCGAGAUUCCCCCAGUAGCGGCGAGCGAACGGGGAGCAGCCCAGAGUCUGAAUCAGCUUGUGUGUUAGUGGAACGGUCUGGAAAGUCCGACGGUACAGGGUGAUAGUCCCGUACACCAAAAUGCACAGGCUGUGAACUCGAAGAGUAGGGCGGGACACGUGGUAUCCUGUCUGAAUAUGGGGGGACCAUCCUCCAAGGCUAAAUACUCCUGACUGACCGAUAGUGAACCAGUACCGUGAGGGAAAGGCGAAAAGAACCCCGGCGAGGGGAGUGAAAAAGAACCUGAAACCGUGUACGUACAAGCAGUGGGAGCACCUUCGGGUGUGACUGCGUACCUUUUGUAUAAUGGGUCAGCGACUUAUAUUCUGUAGCAAGGUUAACCGUAUAGGGGAGCCGCAGGGAAACCGAGUCUUAACUGGGCGUUAAGUUGCAGGGUAUAGACCCGAAACCCGGUGAUCUAGCCAUGGGCAGGUUGAAGGUUGGGUAACACUAACUGGAGGACCGAACCGACUAAUGUUGAAAAAUUAGCGGAUGACUUGUGGCUGGGGGUGAAAGGCCAAUCAAACCGGGAGAUAGCUGGUUCUCCCCGAAAGCUAUUUAGGUAGCGCCUCGUGAAUUCAUCUUCGGGGGUAGAGCACUGUUUCGGCUAGGGGGUCAUCCCGACUUACCAACCCGAUGCAAACUACGAAUACCGAAGAAUGUUAUCACGGGAGACACACGGCGGGUGCUAACGUCCGUCGUGAAGAGGGAAACAACCCAGACCGCCAGCUAAGGUCCCAAAGUCAUGGUUAAGUGGGAAACGAUGUGGGAAGGCACAGACAGCCAGGAUGUUGGCUUAGAAGCAGCCAUCAUUUAAAGAAAGCGUAAUAGCUCACUGGUCGAGUCGGCCUGCGCGGAAGAUGUAACGGGGCUAAACCAUGCACCGAAGCUGCGGCAGCGACACUAUGUGUUGUUGGGUAGGGGAGCGUUCUGUAAGCCUGCGAAGGUGACCUGUGAGGGUUGCUGGAGGUAUCAGAAGUGCGAAUGCUGACAUAAGUAACGAUAAAGCGGGUGAAAAGCCCGCUCGCCGGAAGACCAAGGGUUCCUGUCCAACGUUAAUCGGGGCAGGGUGAGUCGACCCCUAAGGCGAGGCCGAAAGGCGUAGUCGAUGGGAAACAGGUUAAUAUUCCUGUACUUGGUGUUACUGCGAAGGGGGGACGGAGAAGGCUAUGUUAGCCGGGCGACGGUUGUCCCGGUUUAAGCAUGUAGGCUGGUUGUCCAGGCAAAUCCGGAUAAUCAAGGCUGAGGUGUGAUGACGAGGUACUACGGUGCUGAAGUAACAAAUGCCCUGCUUCCAGGAAAAGCCUCUAAGCAUCAGGUAACAUCAAAUCGUACCCCAAACCGACACAGGUGGUCAGGUAGAGAAUACCAAGGCGCUUGAGAGAACUCGGGUGAAGGAACUAGGCAAAAUGGUGCCGUAACUUCGGGAGAAGGCACGCUGGUGUGUAGGUGAAGUCCCUGCGGAUGGAGCUGAGACCAGUCGAAGAUACCAGCUGGCUGCAACUGUUUAUUAAAAACACAGCACUGUGCAAACACGAAAGUGGACGUAUACGGUGUGACGCCUGCCCGGUGCCGGAAGGUUAAUUGAUGGGGUUAUCCGUAAGGAGAAGCUCUUGAUCGAAGCCCCGGUAAACGGCGGCCGUAACUAUAACGGUCCUAAGGUAGCGAAAUUCCUUGUCGGGUAAGUUCCGACCUGCACGAAUGGCGUAAUGAUGGCCAGGCUGUCUCCACCCGAGACUCAGUGAAAUUGAACUCGCUGUGAAGAUGCAGUGUACCCGCGGCAAGACGGAAAGACCCCGUGAACCUUUACUAUAGCUUGACACUGAACAUUGAGCCUUGAUGUGUAGGAUAGGUGGGAGGCUUUGAAGCGUGGACGCCAGUCUGCGUGGAGCCAACCUUGAAAUACCACCCUUUAAUGUUUGAUGUUCUAACGUUGGCCCCUGACCGGGGUUGCGGACAGUGUCUGGUGGGUAGUUUGACUGGGGCGGUCUCCUCCCAAAGCGUAACGGAGGAGCACGAAGGUUAGCUAAUCCUGGUCGGACAUCAGGAGGUUAGUGCAAUGGCAUAAGCUAGCUUGACUGCGAGCGUGACGGCGCGAGCAGGUGCGAAAGCAGGUCAUAGUGAUCCGGUGGUUCUGAAUGGAAGGGCCAUCGCUCAACGGAUAAAAGGUACUCCGGGGAUAACAGGCUGAUACCGCCCAAGAGUUCAUAUCGACGGCGGUGUUUGGCACCUCGAUGUCGGCUCAUCACAUCCUGGGGCUGAAGUAGGUCCCAAGGGUAUGGCUGUUCGCCAUUUAAAGUGGUACGCGAGCUGGGUUUAGAACGUCGUGAGACAGUUCGGUCCCUAUCUGCCGUGGGCGCUGGAGAAUUGAGGGGGGCUGCUCCUAGUACGAGAGGACCGGAGUGGACGCAUCACUGGUGUUCGGGUUGUCAUGCCAAUGGCACUGCCCGGUAGCUAAAUGCGGAAGAGAUAAGUGCUGAAAGCAUCUAAGCACGAAACUUGCCCCGAGAUGAGUUCUCCCUGAGACUUUAAGUCUCCUGAAGGAACGUU
RNAcentral lists this ribosomal RNA (2816 nucleotides) under Klebsiella pneumoniae. RNAcentral describes it as "partial 23S ribosomal RNA". It matches the Rfam family "Bacterial large subunit ribosomal RNA". The record is from RNAcentral. Lineage: Bacteria; Pseudomonadati; Pseudomonadota; Gammaproteobacteria; Enterobacterales; Enterobacteriaceae.